Molecule: ribosomal RNA, 223 nt
Filed under: uncultured bacterium
Lineage: Bacteria
Description: partial 16S ribosomal RNA
Rfam family: Bacterial small subunit ribosomal RNA
Source: RNAcentral
CGCCCUUCAGAGGGGGACGACAGUUGGAAACGACUGCUAAUACCGCAUACGAUCUAAUCUCGGCAUCGAGGGUAGAUGAAAGGUGGCCUCUACAUGUAAGCUAUCACUGAAGGAGGGGAUUGCGUCUGAUUAGCUAGUUGGAGGGGUAACGGCCCACCAAGGCGAUGAUCAGUAGCCGGUCUGAGAGGAUGAACGGCCACAUUGGGACUGAGACACGGCCCAG